RNAcentral lists this ribosomal RNA (1092 nucleotides) under Triticum aestivum (bread wheat). RNAcentral describes it as "partial small subunit ribosomal RNA". The record is from RNAcentral. Lineage: Eukaryota; Viridiplantae; Streptophyta; Magnoliopsida; Poales; Poaceae.
AUGAAGGCAGCAUUAAAAACUAUCCUCCCACAUACUCUGCAUAAGUUGUGUCGGUGGCAUAUCAUGAAGAAGUACAAAGACCACCUCGCCUUGCUGUAUAAGGCGCAUGAGAAACUCAAGGAUGACCUCAAUGCGGUGCUGAACCACCCACUAAUGCCGUCAAAAUUUGAACGACCAUGGAAGGACCUCAUUCAGAGAUACAACUUGCAAGACGACAAAGUGAUGAAUUCGCUGUGGGAUGACAGGCAUGAGUGGAUCUCGGCUUACUACAAGGAAAUUUUCUGUGCUCGGAUGACUUCCACACAGAGAAGCAAGAGCAUGAACCGCAUACUAAAGAAAAACUUUGUCAAAGAGAAGCAUGAUCUCCAUCUGUUUGCUCAGCAGGUGGACAAGUGCAUUCAGACCCGGAAUGUCGUCGAGCACGCAGAGACAGUAGCAAAUGAGUCAGAGGUAAAGACAACAACCCAGUUUGGGUUCGAAGUUCAGCUAUCAAAAGUGUAUACAAGGGCAGUGUUUGCAGAUUUCAAAGAAAAACUCUACCGUAGCACUGCAUUCAGAGCAGAACGGUGCCCUGAGAACCCGACAAAGUAUCUCGUACACCACUACAACAGAUCGGAUGCAUUUGACUGGGCAAUGCAUAAUUUCCAAGUGGUCGCCGAUGAACAGAAAGGUGUCCACGAAUGUGAGUGCAAACUCUGGACACACACAGGGCUCUUUUGCGUCCAUGUGUUAUGCAUGCUUUCUCAUUUGAGAGUACUCAAGAUUCCUGAGGUGUACAUCAUGAAAACAUACACCCGUAACGCAAGAUCAAAUGCAACGUUUGACAGAAGAGACUAUGAACAAACAGCACCAGAUGGAACCUCGCUUUUUUGCCGUAGAAAAUUGCUGACAGAAACAGCAAUGGACCUUGCAAACAAAGCGACAAGGUCCGACGCUGGGUGCCACAGAGCAUUGUCUGGUAUGAGGGCACUGAUCGAGGAAGUUGAUGUGCUCAACAAAGAAGAAGAAGAAGAAGAAGAAGAAGAAGCAAAACUAAAGCAAGUAGAGAAAUCCCAACAUGACAAUAAUGCCGAGCAAGUAGAAAAUACCUAA